CGGGACGGGUGAGUAACGCGUGGAAAACCUGCCGUAUACUGGGGGAUAACACUUAGAAAUAGGUGCUAAUACCGCAUAAGCGCACAGCUUCGCAUGAAGCAGUGUGAAAAACUCCGGUGGUAUACGAUGGUUCCGCGUCUGAUUAGCUAGUUGGUGAGGUAAAAGCCCACCAAGGCAACGAUCAGUAGCCGGCCUGAGAGGGUGAACGGCCACAUUGGGACUGAGACACGGCCCAGACUCCUACGGGAGGCAGCAG
This 256-nucleotide ribosomal RNA is filed under the name uncultured bacterium. RNAcentral describes it as "partial 16S ribosomal RNA". It matches the Rfam family "Bacterial small subunit ribosomal RNA", at positions 98 to 354 of the family's 1533-position model. The record is from RNAcentral.